Molecule: ribosomal RNA, 363 nt
Filed under: Triticum aestivum (bread wheat)
Lineage: Eukaryota; Viridiplantae; Streptophyta; Magnoliopsida; Poales; Poaceae
Description: partial small subunit ribosomal RNA
Source: RNAcentral
AUGACGAAGGCGAUGCCGCGUGAUUCUUCAGCGAGUGGAGCGUUGGUGCCGAGUGACUUGUCAGCGACGGCGGCGGCGGGGAAGCUCCCGUUCCCGCUGCUCACGAGGACGAACUACGCGGCGUGGGCGAUGAGGAUGAAGUACCUCUUGCGCGCCAAUGGCGCAUGGGGGGCCGUUGAUCGCGAGGCGUCGGCCUCGGAGGUCGACAAGGGCAAGGAGGAGAUGGCCAUGACGAUCAUCUCCCAGUCGAUCGACGACACGACGCUGCUGCGCGUUGCUGAGAAGGAGACCGCCGCCGAUGUGUGGGCGGCGCUACGCUCCAUGCACGUUGGCGUCGAGCGCGUCCGAGAGGCGAGGAUUUAG